AGAGUUUGAUCCUGGCUCAGGAUGAACGCUGGCGGCGUGCCUAACACAUGCAAGUCGAACGAAGCGUCCCGCCCGAAGAGAAGGAGUGCUUGCACAAAUUUAAUUCAAUUGGGGCGACUUAGUGGCGGACGGGUGAGUAACGCGUGGGUAACCUGCCUUAUACAGGGGGAUAACAGUUAGAAAUGACUGCUAAUACCGCAUAAGCGCACAGAAUCGCAUGAUACAGUGUGAAAAGCCUUGACGGUAUAAGACGGACCCGCGUCUGAUUAGCCAGUUGGCAGGGUAACGGCCUACCAAAGCGACGAUCAGUAGCCGGCCUGAGAGGGUGAACGGCCACAUUGGAACUGAAACACGGUCCAGACUCCUACGGGAGGCAGCAGUGGGGAAUAUUGCGCAAUGGGCGAAAGCCUGACGCAGCGACGCCGCGUGAGGGAUGAAGGUCUUCGGAUCGUAAACCUCUGUCAGAAGGGAAGAAAGCAGCGGGUGCCAAUCAGCCUGCUGUUGACGGUACCUUCAAAGGAAGCACCGGCUAACUCCGUGCCAGCAGCCGCGGU
This 554-nucleotide ribosomal RNA is filed under the name uncultured Roseburia sp. Its description in RNAcentral is "bacterial SSU rRNA". It matches the Rfam family "Bacterial small subunit ribosomal RNA", at positions 8 to 521 of the family's 1533-position model. Lineage: Bacteria; Bacillati; Bacillota; Clostridia; Lachnospirales; Lachnospiraceae. The record is from RNAcentral.